This 1572-nucleotide ribosomal RNA is filed under the name Escherichia coli. RNAcentral's name for it is "partial 23S ribosomal RNA". It matches the Rfam family "Bacterial large subunit ribosomal RNA", at positions 1291 to 2843 of the family's 2925-position model. The record is from RNAcentral. Lineage: Bacteria; Pseudomonadati; Pseudomonadota; Gammaproteobacteria; Enterobacterales; Enterobacteriaceae.
CGAAUGCUGACAUAAGUAACGAUAAAGCGGGUGAAAAGCCCGCUCGCCGGAAGACCAAGGGUUCCUGUCCAACGUUAAUCGGGGCAGGGUGAGUCGACCCCUAAGGCGAGGCCGAAAGGCGUAGUCGAUGGGAAACAGGUUAAUAUUCCUGUACUUGGUGUUACUGCGAAGGGGGGACGGAGAAGGCUAUGUUGGCCGGGCGACGGUUGUCCCGGUUUAAGCGUGUAGGCUGGUUUUCCAGGCAAAUCCGGAAAAUCAAGGCUGAGGCGUGAUGACGAGGCACUACGGUGCUGAAGCAACAAAUGCCCUGCUUCCAGGAAAAGCCUCUAAGCAUCAGGUAACAUCAAAUCGUACCCCAAACCGACACAGGUGGUCAGGUAGAGAAUACCAAGGCGCUUGAGAGAACUCGGGUGAAGGAACUAGGCAAAAUGGUGCCGUAACUUCGGGAGAAGGCACGCUGAUAUGUAGGUGAAGUCCCUCGCGGAUGGAGCUGAAAUCAGUCGAAGAUACCAGCUGGCUGCAACUGUUUAUUAAAAACACAGCACUGUGCAAACACGAAAGUGGACGUAUACGGUGUGACGCCUGCCCGGUGCCGGAAGGUUAAUUGAUGGGGUCAGCGCAAGCGAAGCUCUUGAUCGAAGCCCCGGUAAACGGCGGCCGUAACUAUAACGGUCCUAAGGUAGCGAAAUUCCUUGUCGGGUAAGUUCCGACCUGCACGAAUGGCGUAAUGAUGGCCAGGCUGUCUCCACCCGAGACUCAGUGAAAUUGAACUCGCUGUGAAGAUGCAGUGUACCCGCGGCAAGACGGAAAGACCCCGUGAACCUUUACUAUAGCUUGACACUGAACAUUGAGCCUUGAUGUGUAGGAUAGGUGGGAGGCUUUGAAGUGUGGACGCCAGUCUGCAUGGAGCCGACCUUGAAAUACCACCCUUUAAUGUUUGAUGUUCUAACGUUGACCCGUGAUCCGGGUUGCGGACAGUGUCUGGUGGGUAGUUUGACUGGGGCGGUCUCCUCCUAAAGAGUAACGGAGGAGCACGAAGGUUGGCUAAUCCUGGUCGGACAUCAGGAGGUUAGUGCAAUGGCAUAAGCCAGCUUGACUGCGAGCGUGACGGCGCGAGCAGGUGCGAAAGCAGGUCAUAGUGAUCCGGUGGUUCUGAAUGGAAGGGCCAUCGCUCAACGGAUAAAAGGUACUCCGGGGAUAACAGGCUGAUACCGCCCAAGAGUUCAUAUCGACGGCGGUGUUUGGCACCUCGAUGUCGGCUCAUCACAUCCUGGGGCUGAAGUAGGUCCCAAGGGUAUGGCUGUUCGCCAUUUAAAGUGGUACGCGAGCUGGGUUUAGAACGUCGUGAGACAGUUCGGUCCCUAUCUGCCGUGGGCGCUGGAGAACUGAGGGGGGCUGCUCCUAGUACGAGAGGACCGGAGUGGACGCAUCACUGGUGUUCGGGUUGUCAUGCCAAUGGCACUGCCCGGUAGCUAAAUGCGGAAGAGAUAAGUGCUGAAAGCAUCUAAGCACGAAACUUGCCCCGAGAUGAGUUCUCCCUGACUCCUUGAGAGUCCUGAAGGAACGUUGAAG